AGCGUCAGUGGUUUAGUGGUAAAAUCCAUCGUUGCCAUCGAUGGGCCGCCGGUUCGAUUCGCGGCUGACGCAA
Non-coding RNA from Staphylotrichum longicolle, 73 nucleotides. Lineage: Eukaryota; Fungi; Ascomycota; Sordariomycetes; Sordariales; Chaetomiaceae. The record is from the annotation of a GenBank genome assembly.